AGGAGGCAGCAGUGAGGAAUCUUGCGCAAUGGGCGAAAGCCUGACGCAGCGACGCCGCGUGCGGGAAGAAGGCCUUCGGGUUGUAAACCGCUUUCAGGAGGGACGAAGCUACUCGGGUUAAUAGCCCAGAGGGUGACGGUACCUCCAGAAGAAGCCCCGGCUAACUACGUGCCAGCAGCCGCGGUAAUACGUAGGGGGCUAGCGUUGUCCGGAUUUAUUGGGCGUAAAGCGCGUGUAGGCGGCCAGGUAGGUCCGUUGUGAAAACUCGAGGCUCAACCUCGAGAGGCCGGCGGAAACCAUCUGGCUAGAGUCCGGAAGAGGAGAGUGGAAUUCCCGGUGUAGCGGUGAAAUGCGCAGAUAUCGGGAAGAACACCCGUGGCGAAGGCGGCUCUCUGGGACGGUACUGACGCUGAGACGCGAAAGCGUGGGGAGCGAACAGGCUUAGAUACCCUGGUAGA
RNAcentral lists this ribosomal RNA (458 nucleotides) under uncultured bacterium. RNAcentral's name for it is "bacterial SSU rRNA". It matches the Rfam family "Bacterial small subunit ribosomal RNA", at positions 343 to 794 of the family's 1533-position model. The record is from RNAcentral.